This 115-nucleotide ribosomal RNA is filed under the name Alphaproteobacteria bacterium. Lineage: Bacteria; Pseudomonadati; Pseudomonadota; Alphaproteobacteria. The record is from RNAcentral.
GCUGGUGGCUAUACCAGCGAGUGAACACCCGAUCCCAUCCCGAACUCGGAAGUGAAAAUCGCUUGGGCCGAUGGUACUAUGACUUAAGUCCUGGGAGAGUAGGUCGUUGCCAGCU